This 418-nucleotide ribosomal RNA is filed under the name uncultured bacterium. RNAcentral's name for it is "partial 16S ribosomal RNA". It matches the Rfam family "Bacterial small subunit ribosomal RNA", at positions 355 to 790 of the family's 1533-position model. The record is from RNAcentral.
UGGGGAAUAUUGGACAAUGGGGGCAACCCUGAUCCAGCAAUGCCGCGUGUGUGAAGAAGGUCUUCGGAUUGUAAAGCACUUUCGACGGGGACGAUGAUGACGGUACCCGUAGAAGAAGCCCCGGCUAACUUCGUGCCAGCAGCCGCGGUAAUACGAAGGGGGCUAGCGUUGCUCGGAAUGACUGGGCGUAAAGGGCGUGUAGGCGGUUUACACAGUCAGAUGUGAAAUCCCCGGGCUUAACCUGGGAGCUGCAUUUGAUACGUGUAGACUAGAGUGUGAGAGAGGGUUGUGGAAUUCCCAGUGUAGAGGUGAAAUUCGUAGAUAUUGGGAAGAACACCGGUGGCGAAGGCGGCAACCUGGCUCAUGACUGACGCUGAGACGCGAAAGCGUGGGGAGCAAACAGGAUUAGAUACCCUGG